AAUACCGCAUACGUCCUACGGGAGAAAGCAGGGGACCUUCGGGCCUUGCGCUAUCAGAUGAGCCUAGGUCGGAUUAGCUAGUUGGUGAGGUAAUGGCUCACCAAGGCGACGAUCCGUAACUGGUCUGAGAGGAUGAUCAGUCACACUGGAACUGAGACACGGUCCAGACUCCUACGGGAGGCAGCAGUGGGGAAUAUUGGACAAUGGGCGAAAGCCUGAUCCAGCCAAGGCGCGUGUGUGAAGAAGGUCUUCGGA
RNAcentral lists this ribosomal RNA (255 nucleotides) under uncultured bacterium. Its description in RNAcentral is "partial 16S ribosomal RNA". It matches the Rfam family "Bacterial small subunit ribosomal RNA", at positions 165 to 422 of the family's 1533-position model. The record is from RNAcentral.